Molecule: transfer RNA, 77 nt
Filed under: Candidatus Bathyarchaeota archaeon
Lineage: Archaea; Thermoproteati; Candidatus Bathyarchaeota
Description: tRNA-Val
Source: RNAcentral
GGGCUCGUCGUCUAGUUGGUUAGGACAGCUGCCUGACGCGCAGCAGGUCGGCCGUUCGAGUCGGCCCGAGCCCACCA